GUAGGAGCUGGCUUGCCGGCGAAGGCGUCUUCAAGGUUGCAGCAGGACCUUAUGAACCACUCGCCGGCAAGCCGGCUCCUAC
This 82-nucleotide unclassified non-coding RNA is filed under the name Pseudomonas chlororaphis. The record is from RNAcentral. Lineage: Bacteria; Pseudomonadati; Pseudomonadota; Gammaproteobacteria; Pseudomonadales; Pseudomonadaceae.